Molecule: long non-coding RNA, 1009 nt
Filed under: Taeniopygia guttata (zebra finch)
Lineage: Eukaryota; Metazoa; Chordata; Aves; Passeriformes; Estrildidae
Description: lncRNA (ENSTGUG00000019817.1)
Source: RNAcentral
GUAUCCCCGAGUCACUCUCCUGCAUACCACUGCACAGCACAAGGAAGAAAAGAGGAGUUUCUGCAUUGCUUAAACACACAAGAGCUACUGACCUGACCCUCUUGGAGCCAUUUCACACACUCUCCAGGGCACACCAAUGACAUCACAGCAUCUCUCUCACCCCUCUAUGAAUCACAUCAGAGGCCAUUGGAGCAUACCAGGACUGGGAACAGAAGUCAGUUAAGGGUGAGAUGCAGGGAAGAGGAAUGUACACCUUUGUCAUAUCUCUAUAAACAAAGGUUAACCCACUGUCCCCUCUUUUGCAGGUUAUUCCAAAAGUGUGGUGAAUUUUACCAACCCGGACAUUUCCAGCUACCUUUUGCUCUUUCUUUUCAGUGCAGCUUAAUAACCCGUGUGGAUGCUGCGAGCCGCCUCUCUCCCGCUGGGAUAAAUGAGCACUUCAGGAAGUAUUAUCUCCCUCCAGCCUGGACUCCAUGGUGCCUGCACAAAGAGGAGGCACUGAACUGGGGAGCUGGGCCACUAUCAAAAGGCAGAGUGAUUUCAGAAAGCUCCAGGGAGGAGUGGGAACGGCUGUGGAAGCACCACACAAAUCUGCUGUGGCACUGCUGCCUUCCUGAAACCCAAAAGAUCCUUAGUGCUCAGCGUCCAGAGGAGGAAAUCCUGGAGCAAACAUCCUUUAGUCCCAUGUUGUGGCCCCAUCAGCAGCAUCAAGAACUAACUGGAUUAGGGGCUUUUUGUCCAUCUCCACCUCACUCCCCCUCUCAUGUCCGAGCCCUUUGAUGCACAUGCCCAGUUGUCAAGAGAACACUCCGGUUCCCCAGUGCUCUUGUGGAGAGAGCAGGGUUAAAAUGCUUCACUGCUCUCCUUAAUCCCUCUCACAUGAUUUAGUCAACACCAGUAGGGGAGAAGGACUGGCAGGUUUGGCUCCCUCCUCUCCAGAAGUUGGGGAGGAGGGCUGAAUCCAGCACAGCACUCGGGCUGGAUGCUGUGGGAGCUGCACAACCAACAC